RNAcentral lists this ribosomal RNA (254 nucleotides) under uncultured bacterium. RNAcentral describes it as "partial 16S ribosomal RNA". It matches the Rfam family "Bacterial small subunit ribosomal RNA", at positions 524 to 776 of the family's 1533-position model. The record is from RNAcentral.
UACGUAGGUGGCAAGCGUUGUCCGGAAUUAUUGGGCGUAAAGCGCGCGCAGGCGGCUUCUUAAGUCUGAUGUGAAAUCUCGGGGCUCAACCCCGAGCGGCCAUUGGAAACUGGGAAGCUUGAGUACAGAAGAGGAGAGUGGAAUUCCACGUGUAGCGGUGAAAUGCGUAGAUAUGUGGAGGAACACCAGUGGCGAAGGCGACUCUCUGGUCUGUAACUGACGCUGAGGCGCGAAAGCGGUGGGGAGCAAACAGG